UUACGGCCAUAUCACGUUGAAACACCGCUUCUCGUACGAUCAUCAAAGUUAAGCAACGUUCAGCCUAGCCAGUAUCUAGAAGGGUGACCGCUUGGGAAUACCAGGUAAUGUA
Acanthosepion pharaonis is the source of this 112-nucleotide non-coding RNA. The record is from the annotation of a GenBank genome assembly. NCBI's taxonomy places the organism in Eukaryota, Metazoa, Mollusca, Cephalopoda, Sepiida, Sepiidae.